Molecule: ribosomal RNA, 485 nt
Filed under: uncultured bacterium
Lineage: Bacteria
Description: partial 16S ribosomal RNA
Rfam family: Bacterial small subunit ribosomal RNA
Source: RNAcentral
GACGAACGCUGGCGGCGUGCUUAACACAUGCAAGUCGAACGGGAUCCAUGUUGUAGCAAUACUUCGGAAGAUCUAGUGGCGAACGGGUGAGGAACACGUGAGAAACCUGCUCCGAACUUCGGGAUAACAGUUGGAAACGACUGCUAAUACCGAAUACCUCUGCGAAGUGGCUUCACUUUGCAAAGAAAGAAUUUCGGUUCGGGAGGGUCUCGCGGCCUAUCAGCUAGUUGGUGGGGUAACGGCCUACCAAGGCAGCGACGGGUAGCUGGUCUGGGAGGAUGAUCAGCCACACUGGGACUGAGACACGGCCCAGACUCCUACGGGAGGGAGCAGUGGGGAAUCUUGUGCAAUGGGCGAAAGCCUGACACAGCAACGCCGCGUGCGGGAAGAAGGCCUUCGGGUCGUAAACCGCUUUCAGCAGGAACGAAGAUGACGGUACCUGCAGAAGAAGGUGCGGCCAACUACGUGCCAGCAGCCGCCCGUAA